RNAcentral lists this ribosomal RNA (440 nucleotides) under uncultured Psychrobacter sp. RNAcentral's name for it is "bacterial SSU rRNA". It matches the Rfam family "Bacterial small subunit ribosomal RNA", at positions 358 to 790 of the family's 1533-position model. Lineage: Bacteria; Pseudomonadati; Pseudomonadota; Gammaproteobacteria; Moraxellales; Moraxellaceae. The record is from RNAcentral.
GGAAUAUUGGACAAUGGGGGAAACCCUGAUCCAGCCAUGCCGCGUGUGUGAAGAAGGCCUUUUGGUUGUAAAGCACUUUAAGCAGUGAAGAAGACUCUGUGGUUAAUACCCACAGACGAUGACAUUAGCUGCAGAAUAAGCACCGGCUAACUCUGUGCCAGCAGCCGCGGUAAUACAGAGGGUGCAAGCGUUAAUCGGAAUUACUGGGCGUAAAGCGAGCGUAGGUGGCUUGAUAAGUCAGAUGUGAAAUCCCCGGGCUUAACCUGGGAACUGCAUCUGAUACUGUCAGGCUAGAGUAGGUGAGAGGAAGGUAGAAUUCCAGGUGUAGCGGUGAAAUGCGUAGAGAUCUGGAGGAAUACCGAUGGCGAAGGCAGCCUUCUGGCAUCAUACUGACACUGAGGCUCGAAAGCGUGGGUAGCAAACAGGAUUAGAUACCCUUG